GGCCGGCCCCCGGGUUGCGCUUUUAGCGCCUGACGCCCGUGUGGGAGCCUUUCUCCCGCUUAGCCCUUGACUCCACGGGGCCGCGGAGCACCCGCCGCCCGCUGCCGCCCCGUCGGGCCGGGCUCGCCUUUCCGCUUGUUCAUGACGCCCCCAGAACCGCAGUGGGAAGGAUUUAAGUUUGGGUUGGUCUGGGCCGUCGCCAAGACCAAAGCUUGGGCGGUGCCUUCGGCCUUUUGGCGGCGCCGCCAGAAAGAUGUACUGAUAGCUCCUUUUAGUGUGUGCUGGUCACGUGUCGGGAGCUCACUUAGGCUCCAGCCCCGUCAAGGUGGAAUCACCCUCGUUUUGCAGAUUUCUGGGAAGACAGCAAAUCCAGUUUCACAAACCAGACCGGAGGGGGUGGAGACUUGAAUGUCCCAUGAGGAAGUUUGAUUCCUUCUAGCCCAGAAUGCCAUCAUGGUAUUACAAGUCACCACUGAUAACUCAUAGCCCUGGGGCUCACUCAAGCCUCUAGCAGCUUGGACUCUGAGAGUUGCUGCAUACCUUAGGUAAAACUGGAGGAGGUGGGUAAAAAGGAAGACAUCAACAGAAAGUCCCAAUGGUCAUCAACCACUGGCAUCACUUCAUGUGUGUUGAGUUACCCACAUUUGUGGAAAUCACAGGCAUCAGCUCAGCAUAUCCAGAAGGCAAUGGGUAAGCCUCACCCUCGGAAAACCACCUUCGUGAUCAAUAGUAUCCCCGCUGCCAGGCAAAAAGCUGAUUGGAGUUUGACUUUUUAGCGGAAUGAGAGGUUUGCGCUUCGAUGAGGAGACCUAACCACGCCAACUGGGCGUUCAUUCAUCAGUCAGUCCAGCAGCUGCCCCUGGGUCGAAAGGAAGAGUGUGGGCAGGGCGAGGCCCACACGGUGAAACUGUCCUUUGAACGUGGCGUCCCUGAGAGAUGCGGCUUCACGGAAGAAUGAAAACAUGGCUUUCUCCACCCAAACCACACCUGUGAGAUCCUCUGACAUGGAGACAGCGGGUGGACGACUGAGGCAGCAUACAAUGUCCAGUUUCCCUGCUCAUCCCAGACUCCAUGGACCCUGCACGGUGCCUGCAAACUUCCCUCCAGCCAUGUCUCUUUCCCUGUCUCCCCUGCUCCAAGAUGCAAGUCUUCUCCCAGAUCUCUCUCUGCUUUCUGUACCCAAAUACAGCUCCAACGUCAAGUUGCAGCUCUCAUUCCCUCUUCCACCCAGCCCUUUGCCAUCUGGAGUUUUCUGCUUGGAUGCGCCCUGGCAUUUCACAGCCAGUUGUCUAAUUGGUACAUUCACCUGGCCCAAGACCACUUCUGUUAAUGGUUCCAAUCAUUGAGGCUUGACAUACUGCAUUUACCUGUGGCUUUACCUCCCACAUCAUUGCCCUCCACCCACAUUCCAACUCAUCACCAAGCCCUGCACACCCUGCUUGUCCUCUCCUGUUGAUUCCCUGGUUUGGAAAAGAAAUGAAUGCUUGUCUUCUCUGAGGCACCAAGGCACUGGCUUGAAGGGCAUUUCUAUAGUGCUUGGCGUGGUGUUUCCGUAUAUACUCAUCAGUGUUGGAUUGCAAGUUCCUCAAGAGCUGGAAUUUGUAUUUAAUUUUAAAAGCUUUGAACAGGUAUUUACCAUCUGCUGGGCAAUAGGGAAAUGAUAA
Miniopterus natalensis is the source of this 1664-nucleotide long non-coding RNA. RefSeq lists it as uncharacterized. Lineage: Eukaryota; Metazoa; Chordata; Mammalia; Chiroptera; Miniopteridae. The record is from RefSeq and is a predicted model, not a curated record.